GCAGGUGUAUGGAUAGUAAAACUACAUGAGAUUGGCAUGAAGGUCCCAUGCAUGGAGGGGGAAAAAAGAGUGGAAACCCUUCAAGUCAGUCUCACUUCCAUUUCUUCAUUCAUCAGACAUGUCCCUCGCUCUCUCAAAUGUUUCCUUCAUCGGUGUUCGCUUCACCGCACCUGAGGUGGCUGAGCAUCCCAUCCUGACCAAUCACCACCACCAACAGACUCCUCCCACUCUCAUCUCUCCUAUUCCCUCAUCAAAUUCUUCCAAAACUCAACAGAAAAUUCCAUAUCAAACUAUAAACGAUAAAAACCCUAAAUCCUAAAAUGAAAAUUAAACGAUGAUGGAGGCGAGUCAAGCCACUCAUCCUUAGGGAUUGGAUUCCCCUCAAUGAGGGCUACAUUAUGGAAUCAACUUCGAAAUAAAAGAAGCAAGGAGAGGAAGUGAUCUAUCGGCAAGAUCGUGGCUUGUCUCAAAGUUUUUUGGGGAUGAGGAUGAAGAUUACAAAGAUAAAACCAAAGGAAUGACAUUGUGCUUUUGAAGGGUUGGUGACAUAUAGUAGGAGUGUACUUGGCUUGAUAUAGGACAAUGUUCAUGAAGGGUUUAACAUUUGAGAGGCUAAGCAUGGCAUUGAUCAAAGUUGGUAAGGCAUAGGGGAAUAACAUCAAGACAUGAAGAAGUUUGAAGGCACAAGGAUAAAAUAUCUAUGGGAAUGAAAAACAAUGUAGACUUAGGAUCAAGUUUAACUUUGGUCAACUAUGUGACCAAAAGUCAAUAGUUUACCAAAAGUUAACUCUAGGUUAAAUGUAUCUUUUUGUGUAGAAUUUGAUUUUGGACUUCUUUUGUAAUGUAUUUGAUGUCUUUGUAAUUAAAACGAUCCUUGAAUUGAAUGGUAUCUUGCAUUCUAAGAAGCAUGGCCUUUCCCUCCAAA
Molecule: long non-coding RNA, 925 nt
Organism: Lathyrus oleraceus (garden pea)
Lineage: Eukaryota; Viridiplantae; Streptophyta; Magnoliopsida; Fabales; Fabaceae
Exons: 2
Source: RefSeq, a predicted model, not a curated record